This 279-nucleotide unclassified non-coding RNA is filed under the name Glomus sp. Its description in RNAcentral is "partial internal transcribed spacer 2". Lineage: Eukaryota; Fungi; Glomeromycota; Glomeromycetes; Glomerales; Glomeraceae. The record is from RNAcentral.
GUGAAUCAUCGAAUUUUUGAACGCAAAUUGCACUCUCCGGGGAGAGGAUGACUGUGUGAGGGUCAGCAUAUAAAAAAUCGACAUCGUUGCUGUUGCGCGGUGUCGUUCGUCGGAAAUAGGGACAACGUAUAUCUAUAGGUGUUAAGCGACUUAAAAUUUUCUGUUUGGUUCCAUGAACGUUUCUGAGAUUUAUUUCUUUAUACGUUUAAGGUAUCGAUGUCUAGUAGACGUGACAAUCAUAUCGUAUCGCGCCAAUAAUCUUACAUUAACUGACCUCUG